RNAcentral lists this ribosomal RNA (460 nucleotides) under uncultured bacterium. RNAcentral describes it as "partial 16S ribosomal RNA". It matches the Rfam family "Bacterial small subunit ribosomal RNA", at positions 338 to 795 of the family's 1533-position model. The record is from RNAcentral.
CCUACGGGAGGCAGCAGUGAGGAAUAUUGGUCAAUGGACGCAAGUCUGAACCAGCCAUGCCGCGUGCAGGAAGACGGCUCUAUGAGUUGUAAACUGCUUUUGUACGAGGGUAAACGCAGAUACGUGUAUCUGUCUGAAAGUACCGUACGAAUAAGGAUCGGCUAACUCCGUGCCAGCAGCCGCGGUAAUACGGAGGAUUCAAGCGUUAUCCGGAUUUAUUGGGUUUAAAGGGUGCGUAGGCGGGUGGAUAAGUUAGAGGUGAAAUCUCGAGGCUCAACUUCGGAAUUGCCUCUGAUACUGUUCGUCUAGAGAGUAGUUGCGGUAGGCGGAAUGUAUGGUGUAGCGGUGAAAUGCUUAGAGAUCAUACAGAACACCGAUUGCGAAGGCAGCUUACCAAGCUACUUCUGACGUUGAGGCACGAAAGCGUGGGGAGCAAACAGGAUUAGAUACCCGGGUAGUC